GCGCCCAUCGUCUAGCGGUCAGGACGGCGCCCUCUCACGGCGCAAACAGGGGGGGUUCGAUUCCCCUUGGGCGUACCA
Molecule: transfer RNA, 78 nt
Filed under: Brucella intermedia 229E
Lineage: Bacteria; Pseudomonadati; Pseudomonadota; Alphaproteobacteria; Hyphomicrobiales; Brucellaceae
Description: Ochrobactrum intermedium 229E tRNA-Glu
Rfam family: tRNA
About the family: Transfer RNA (tRNA) molecules are approximately 80 nucleotides in length. Their secondary structure includes four short double-helical elements and three loops (D, anti-codon, and T loops).
Source: RNAcentral